GUCAAAUUUUGUGUUUCAGUUGAAAAGAAUAUCGGGAAGGAACCCGAGGAAACGAGUCGAGGCUAAGGGACGACUCGCUUGAGAUAAAAGCAAGGAGAAAGCAGCAGAGUGAGCUGCGGAAUUGACAAGAUCUUUUUGAUCCCUUUUUGUACGGGUAUUAUUUUAUACCCUUAUGGUUAUUUUGAUGUAAAUACUGUAAUGUCAUAAGUAUCAAUGUAAAUUGAGCAGUUGUAAAUAAACUAUAAUAAUAUUAUUUUAGAUUUUCUUCUGUAAAUUUAAUAUUUGUACAUAUGGAUUUUCUGCC
Hevea brasiliensis (rubber tree) is the source of this 304-nucleotide long non-coding RNA. RefSeq lists it as uncharacterized. The transcript has 2 exons. The record is from RefSeq and is a predicted model, not a curated record. NCBI's taxonomy places the organism in Eukaryota, Viridiplantae, Streptophyta, Magnoliopsida, Malpighiales, Euphorbiaceae.